AACAUAAAAGUGGAGGCUAUUGUAACUGAAGAGAACUGGAAAGUUCCACCGUAGAAGGUAAUAGUCCUGUAAGUGAAACGAGAAGACCACGAGUUAUGAUCCAGAGUACCACGAGACACGUGAAACCUUGUGGGAAGCAGGGAGGACCACCUCCCAAGGCUAAAUACUACCUGAUGACCGAUAGUGAAGCAGUACCGUGAGGGAAAGGUGAAAAGAACCCCGGGAGGGGAGUGAAAUAGAACCUGAAACCGUGUGCCUACAACCGCUCAGAGCCCCUUAUGAGGGUGAUGAGGUGCUUUUUGUAGAACGAGCCAACGAGUUACGGUAUGUAGCAAGGUUAAGUACUUAAGGUACGGAGCCGAAGGGAAACCGAGUCUGAAUAGGGCGACUAGUUGCAUGCCGUAGACCCGAAACCGGGUGACCUAUCCAUGGCCAGGUUGAAGCGAGGGUAAAACCUCGUGGAGGACCGAACCACGUUGCUGUUGAAAAAGCAUGGGAUGAGCUGUGGAUAGCGGAGAAAUUCCAAUCGAACCCGGAGAUAGCUGGUUCUCUCCGAAAUAGCUUUAGGGCUAGCGUCGAGUAUGAGUAGUGGAGGUAGAGCACUGAAUGGGCUAGGGGGCAUAGCGCUUACCGAACCUUAUCAAACUCCGAAUGCCACAUACUUUGAGCUCGGCAGUCAGACUACGAAUGAUAAGAUCCGUGGUCAAAAGGGAAACAGCCCAGAUCGUCAGCUAAGGUCCCAAAGUGUAAGUUAAGUGGGAAAGGAUGUGAGAUUUCUAAGACAACUAGGAUGUUGGCUUAGAAGCAGCCAUUCAUUAAAAGAGUGCGUAAUAGCUCACUAGUCGAGAGAUCUUGCGCCGAAAAUGUAACGGGGCUAAACUUACCACCGAAGCUACGGGCUUGAACUUAGUUCAAGCGGUAGGAGAGCGUCGUAACCGGGCUGAAGUCGUACCGUAAGGAGCGGUGGACUGGUUACGAGUGAGAAUGUUGGCAUCAGUAGCGAGAUGUGGGUGAGAAUCCCACAGGCCGAAAACCUAAGGUUUCCUCAGGAAGGUUCGUCCGCUGAGGGUUAGUCGGGACCUAAGCCGAGGCCGAAAGGCGUAGGUGAUGGACAACUGGUUGAUAUUCCAGUACCACUACCAUCGUUAUUAUCGAUGGCGUGACGCAGGAGGAUAGUGUGUGCUAGCUAUUGGAUGCUAGUCUAAGCGUUUAGGCAGUGAGAGUAGGCAAAUCCGCUCUCAUAAUGCUGAGGCGUGAUGGGGAAGGUUCUACGGAACCGAAGUACAUGAUUCCACGCUGCCAAGAAAAGCGUCUAGAGAGAGAAGUAGUGCCCGUACCGCAAACCGACACAGGUAGGUGAGGAGAGAAUCCUAAGGCCGGCGGAAGAAUUACAGUUAAGGAACUCGGCAAAUUGACCCCGUAAGUUCGCGAGAAGGGGUGCCUACGAGAGUAGGCCGCAGAGAAUAGGCCCAAGCAACUGUUUAGCAAAAACACAGGUCUCUGCUAAAGCGUAAGCUGAUGUAUAGGGGCUGACGCCUGCCCGGUGCUGGAAGGUUAAGGGGAACACUUAGCGCAAGCGAAGGUGUGAACUUAAGCCCCAGUAAACGGCGGCCGUAACUAUAACGGUCCUAAGGUAGCGAAAUUCCUUGUCAGGUAAGUUCUGACCCGCACGAAUGGCGUAAUGACUUGGGCACUGUCUCAACUGUAAAUCCGGCGAAGUUGUAGUGCGAGUGAAGAUGCUCGCUACCCGCGAUUGGACGGAAAGACCCCGUAGAGCUUUACUGUAGCUUAGCAUUGAGUUUUGGUAUUGUCUGUACAGGAUAGGUGGGAGACUAGGAAACCAGGGCGUCAGCCUUGGUGGAGUCAACCUUGGGAUACCACCCUGACAGUACUGAAAUUCUAACUGGCGGCCAUGAAUCUGGUCACAGGACAUUGUUAGGUGGGCAGUUUGACUGGGGCGGUCGCCUCCUAAAAAGUAACGGAGGCGCCCAAAGGUUCCCUCAGAACGGUCGGAAAUCGUUCGAAGAGUGCAAAGGCAGAAGGGAGCCUGACUGCGACACCCACAAGUGGAGCAGGGACGAAAGUCGGGCUUAGUGAUCCGGUGGUACCUCGUGGGAGGGCCAUCGCUCAACGGAUAAAAGCUACCUCGGGGAUAACAGGCUGAUCUCCCCCAAGAGUCCACAUCGACGGGGAGGUUUGGCACCUCGAUGUCGGCUCGUCGCAUCCUGGGGCUGAAGUAGGUCCCAAGGGUUGGGCUGUUCGCCCAUUAAAGCGGCACGCGAGCUGGGUUCAGAACGUCGUGAGACAGUUCGGUCCCUAUCCGUCGCGGGCGUAGGAAAUUUGAGAGGAGCUGUCCUUAGUACGAGAGGACCGGGAUGGACUGACCUCUGGUGUACCAGUUGUUCCGCCAGGAGCACAGCUGGGUAGCUAAGUCGGGAAUGGAUAAACGCUGAAAGCAUCUAAGCGUGAAGCCAACCUCAAGAUGAGAUUUCCCAUAGCGUAAGCUAGUAAGAUCCCUUGAAGAACACAAGGUUGAUAGGUCGGGGGUGUAAGCAUGGUAACAUGUUCAGCUGACCGAUACUAAUAGAUCGAGGGCUUGACCAAAU
RNAcentral lists this ribosomal RNA (2606 nucleotides) under Clostridium perfringens. Its description in RNAcentral is "partial 23S ribosomal RNA". It matches the Rfam family "Bacterial large subunit ribosomal RNA", at positions 308 to 2925 of the family's 2925-position model. Lineage: Bacteria; Bacillati; Bacillota; Clostridia; Eubacteriales; Clostridiaceae. The record is from RNAcentral.